UCACCGGUACUCGCGAAUGCUCUAGAUUAAAGUUUGAUCAUGGCUCAGAUUGAACGCUGGCGGCAANGCCUAACACAUGCAAGUCGAACGGUAGCACAGAGAGCUUGCUCUUGGGUGACGAGUGGCGGACGGGUGAGUAAUGUCUGGGAAACUGCCCGAUGGAGGGGGAUAACUACUGGAAACGGUAGCUAAUACCGCAUAACGUCUUCGGACCAAAGUGGGGGACCUUCGGGCCUCACACCAUCGGAUGUGCCCAGAUGGGAUUAGCUAGUAGUGGGGUAAUGGCUCACCUAGGCGACGAUCCCUAGCUGGUCUGAGAGGAUGACCAGCCACACUGGAACUGAGACACGGUCCAGACUCCUACGGGAGGCAGCAGUGGGGAAUAUUGCACAAUGGGCGCAAGCCUGAUGCAGCCAUGCCGCGUGUAUGAAGAAGGCCUUCGGGUUGUAAAGUACUUUCAGCGGGGAGGAAGGCGAUGUGGUUAAUAACCGCAUCGAUUGACGUUACCCGCAGAAGAAGCACCGGCUAACUCCGUGCCAGCAGCCGCGGUAAUAACGGAGGGUGCAAGCGUUAAUCGGAAUUACUGGGCGUAAGCGCACGCAGGCGGUCUUGUCCAAGUCGGGAUUGUUGAACUUCCCCCCGGGCUUUAACCCGGGAAACCUUGGCAAUUAACCGAAAAAACUUGGGCAAGGGCUUAAGGAAGGUCCUGGUUACAAA
RNAcentral lists this ribosomal RNA (717 nucleotides) under uncultured bacterium. RNAcentral's name for it is "bacterial SSU rRNA". It matches the Rfam family "Bacterial small subunit ribosomal RNA", at positions 1 to 681 of the family's 1533-position model. The record is from RNAcentral.